This 242-nucleotide ribosomal RNA is filed under the name uncultured bacterium. Its description in RNAcentral is "partial 16S ribosomal RNA". It matches the Rfam family "Bacterial small subunit ribosomal RNA", at positions 118 to 348 of the family's 1533-position model. The record is from RNAcentral.
UGGGUAACCUGCCUCAAAGAGGGGAAUAGCCUCCCGAAAGGGAGAUUAAUACCGCAUAAUAUGUUUAGGUCGCAUGACUUUAACAUCAAAGGAUUUUCUUUUAGAAAUUCCACUUUGAGAUGGACCCCGCGGCGCAUUAGCUAGUUGGUGAGGUAACGGCUCACCAAGGCAACGAUGCGUAGCCGACCUGAGGGGUNAUCGGCCACAUUGGAGCUGAGACACGGUCCAGACUCCGUAGGAGG